RNAcentral lists this ribosomal RNA (937 nucleotides) under Klebsiella pneumoniae. RNAcentral describes it as "bacterial SSU rRNA". It matches the Rfam family "Bacterial small subunit ribosomal RNA", at positions 62 to 957 of the family's 1533-position model. Lineage: Bacteria; Pseudomonadati; Pseudomonadota; Gammaproteobacteria; Enterobacterales; Enterobacteriaceae. The record is from RNAcentral.
UCGAGCGGUAGCACAAAGAGCUUGCUCUCGGGUGACGAGCGGCGGACGGGUGAGUAAUGUCUGGGAAACUGCCUGAUGGAGGGGGAUAACUACUGGAAACGGUAGCUAAUACCGCAUAACGUCGCAAGACCAAAGUGGGGGACCUUCGGGCCUCAUGCCAUCAGAUGUGCCCAGAUGGGAUUAGCUAGUAGGUGGGGUAACGGCUCACCUAGGCGACGAUCCCUAGCUGGUCUGAGAGGAUGACCAGCCACACUGGAACUGAGACACGGUCCAGACUCCUACGGGAGGCAGCAGUGGGGAAUAUUGCACCAAUUGGGCGCCAAACCCUUGAUGCAACCCAUGCCGCGGUGUGGGAAAGAAGGCCUUUCGGGGUUGUAAAAGCAAAUUUCAGCGGGGGAGGAAGGCGGUGAAGGUUUAAUAACCUUCAUCCGAUUGACGUUACCCGGCAGGAAGAAGCCACCGGCUUAAAUUCCGUGCCCAGCAGCCCGCGGUAAUUACGGAGGGGUGCAAAGCGUUAAUCGGAAAUUACUGGGGCGUAAAGCGCACGCAGGGCGGUCUGUCAAGUCGGGAUGUGAAAUCCCCGGGGCUCAACCUUGGGAACUGCAUUCGAAACUGGCAGGCUAGAGUCUUGUAGAGGGGGGUAGAAUUCCAGGUGUAGCGGUGAAAUGCGUAGAGAUCUGGAGGAAUACCGGUGGCGAAAGCGGGCCCCUGGACAAAGACUGACGCUCAGGUGCGAAAGCGUGGGGAGCAAACAGGAUUAGAUACCCUGGUAGUCCACGCCGUAAACGAUGUCGAUUUGGAGGUUGUGCCCUUGAGGCGUGGCUUCCGGAGCUAACGCGUUAAAUCGACCGCCUGGGGAGUACGGCCGCAAGGUUAAAACUCAAAUGAAUUGACGGGGGCCCGCACAAGCGGUGGAGCAUGUGGUUUAAUUCGAUGC